AGAGUUUGAUCCUGGCUCAGAGCGAACGCUGGCGGCAGGCCUAACACAUGCAAGUCGAACGAUCCUUCGGGAUAGUGGCGGACGGGUGAGUAACACGUGGGAACGUGCCUUUUGGUUCGGAAUAACACAGGGAAACUUGUGCUAAUACCGGAUGAGCCCUACGGGGGAAAGAUUUAUCGCCGAAAGAGCGGCCCGCGUUAGAUUAGCUAGUUGGUGGGGUAAAGGCCCACCAAGGCUCCGAUCUAUAGCUGGUCUGAGAGGAUGAUCAGCCACACUGGGACUGAGACACGGCCCAGACUCCUACGGGAGGCAGCAGUGGGGAAUCUUGCGCAAUGGGCGAAAGCCUGACGCAGCCAUGCCGCGUGAAUGAUGAAGGUCUUAGGAUUGUAAAAUUCUUUUACCAGGGACGAUAAUGACGGUACCUGGAGAAAAAGCCCCGGCUAACUUCGUGCCAGCAGCCGCGGUAAUACGAAGGGGGCUAGCGUUGCUCGGAAUUACUGGGCGUAAAGGGAGCGUAGGCGGGUUAUCAAGUUGGAGGUGAAAGCCCAGGGCUCAACCUUGGAAUUGCCUUCAAAACUGAUAGCCUAGAGUAUGGAAGAGGUAAGUGGAACUCCGAGUGUAGAGGUGAAAUUCGUAGAUAUUCGGAAGAACACCAGUGGCGAAGGCGACUUACUGGUCCAUGACUGACGCUGAGGCUCGAAAGCGUGGGGAGCAAACAGGAUUAGAUACCCUAGUAGUCC
Molecule: ribosomal RNA, 740 nt
Filed under: uncultured bacterium
Lineage: Bacteria
Description: bacterial SSU rRNA
Rfam family: Bacterial small subunit ribosomal RNA
Source: RNAcentral